UUAAGUUCAGCGGGUAUUCCUACCUGAUCCGAGGUCAAACUUUGGAAAGAUUCGUCUUCUUUACGGCGUGGCCGCGCCGCGUUCCGGUGCGAGGUGUUAGCUACUACGCAGAGGAAGCCGCGGCGUGACCGCCACUGGAUUUCGGGGCCGGCCGCCGCCAGGCGGGGCCGAUCCCCAACGCCAAGCCCCGGAAGGGGGGC
This 200-nucleotide unclassified non-coding RNA is filed under the name fungal sp. Its description in RNAcentral is "partial internal transcribed spacer 2". Lineage: Eukaryota; Fungi. The record is from RNAcentral.